This is a long non-coding RNA of Triplophysa dalaica, 1442 nucleotides long. RefSeq lists it as uncharacterized. Lineage: Eukaryota; Metazoa; Chordata; Actinopteri; Cypriniformes; Nemacheilidae. The transcript has 9 exons. The record is from RefSeq and is a predicted model, not a curated record.
AACUCAUUGAUUUUGAUAACUUACAGUCUCCUCAGAAGAUCUCUUGUAGGACUUGACCUUCAGCUGGAGUUUGUCCACCAGGUCUUGAAGACGAGUUAGAUUCUUACGAUCCUCUUCGGUCUACAAAUCACAAGGAUCCUGUUGGGGAAGCCCUUUCUGCAGAUUCUGAUGCCCUCCAGCACACCGUUACAGCGCAGCUGGUGCAUUACCAGAGGAUUCUCCAUCGCCCCAGGAGUCUUGGUCUCAUUGGGGAUCAGGCAACGCACAAAGUGAGGUCAUUGCUGAAGGUCUUGGACAGCUGUAGAUCUGGGCCUUUGAGUUGUGAGAGGCUGCAGCAGCUGUUCUGCAAAUGUUACGGAUCUUCUCAGCCACACACAUCUGCUUUGCUCGCAGUCCAAGCAGGAGAAGACUACUGUGCUUUAAUGCACCACUGAGGCUCAGAUGAAUGAGGAUCCUGUUGGGGAAGCCCUUUCUGCAGAUUCUGAUGCCCUCCAGCACACCGUUACAGCGCAGCUGGUGCAUGACCAGAGGAUUCUCCAUAGCCCCAGGAGUCUUGGUCUCAUUGGGGAUCAGGCAACGCACAAAGUGAGGGAUCCUGUUGGGGAAGCCCUUUCUGCAGAUUCUGAUGCCCUCCAGCACACCGUUACAGCGCAGCUGGUGCAUGACCAGAGGAUUCUCCAUCGCCCCAGGAGUCUUGGUCUCAUUGGGGAUCAGGCAACGCACAAAGUGAGGAAUAAAGUCUAAUGCAGUCUGGUGAAAAGACGACACCUACAGAGUCCACCAGUGAUGCACCUAAUACAGAAAUUGCCAUGUUGGGAAAGACAACAAAUAAAUAUGGAUGAACAUCGGCUUCAUAGUUACCAUUUCUCAAAAACAAAUAUGAGGGUCAGGGACAAAACAUUCCUUCUUCAUGUUAAAGGGGCGAGUUUGGGCCUCCAGACGUUCCAUGUAUGACAUCCUGAGAAAUGGAGCAGCAGGUCCAAACUCUGCCAUUACAGCAUUUCCCAUAUUUCACAAAUGCUAAAUAGUAAUUGUCUCAUGUCUACAUCUGCUCCAUUAAUUCAUUAAGAUUUGAGUCAAACCAAUCGUAUGCACUUCUCAUGCACAUGGUAGUCAUAUCCCUGCCAAAUGCUAUCCCAUAAUGACAAUACUGAUGCAUUCACAUGUGCCAUUUGUAUCCAAAAUAACUAUUGUAAGCAAAGCCAAGAAAACAAAUGUAAAUGUAUAUUUUUGACCUGUGAUGUUUUGUUACGAAGCGACAGAGGUGAGGAGUCCUAAUAAAGUAACUCUUGAGAUUCAACCAAUGUAUUGUCUGUCUUUCAUGGUCUCUCUCUUAAUACACCAACAACAUCCACAGUGUUGAGUUUAUGUGGAGUCGUAGACUAGCAGUUCUCAUUGGUUAAGGAUUUUAAAGCUUGACAACACACGGCAGUUACGUUUAG